ACGGGCCCGCACAAGCAGUGGAACAUGUGGUUCAAUUCGACGCUACGCGAAGAACCUCACCAGGGUUUGACAUAUAGGUAGUAGGAACCUGAAAGGGAGACGACUCGUUAAGCCGAGUGCCUAUACAGGUGUUGCAUGGCUGUCGUCAGCUCGUGCCGUGAGGUGUUGGGUUAAGUCCCGCAACGAGCGCAACCAUCAUCCUUAGUUGCUACCGAGGGAUCCGAAGGGGUCCUGGCGAGCACUCUAAGGAGACUGCCCGUGAUAAACGGGAGGAAGGUGGAGAUGACGUCAAGUCCGUAUGGCCCUUAUACCCUGGGCUACACACGUGUUACAAUGGGAUGUACAGAGCGUUGCCAAACCGCGAGGUGGAGCUAAUCGCAAAAAGCAUCCCCCAGUUCAGAUUGGAGUCUGCAACCCGACUCCAUGAAGUUGGAAUUGCUAGUAACGGCGGAUCAGCUACGCCCGCCGUCGAAUACGUUCCGGGCCUU
Molecule: ribosomal RNA, 488 nt
Filed under: uncultured Omnitrophica bacterium
Lineage: Bacteria; Pseudomonadati; Candidatus Omnitrophota
Description: bacterial SSU rRNA
Rfam family: Bacterial small subunit ribosomal RNA
Source: RNAcentral